This 254-nucleotide ribosomal RNA is filed under the name uncultured bacterium. Its description in RNAcentral is "partial 16S ribosomal RNA". It matches the Rfam family "Bacterial small subunit ribosomal RNA", at positions 524 to 776 of the family's 1533-position model. The record is from RNAcentral.
UACAGAGGGCUCGAGCGUUGCGCGGAGUCACUGGGCUUAAAGCGUACGUAGGCGGACAUGAAGGCAUCGUGUGAAAUCCCCCGACUCAACCGGGGAACUGCUCGGUGAACCGCAUGUCUUGAGGGAAGUAAGGGCGGUCGGAACGAUAGGUGGAGCGGUGAAAUGCGUAGAUAUCUAUCGGAACGCCGAAGGUGAAGACAGGCCGCUGGGCUUCUUACUGACGCUGAGGUACGAAAGCGUGGGGAGCGAACGGG